GAGCAUCCUGUGAUCACACUUUCAAUCCGCCCUAAAUUCGCUCUUAUCGCGUAUUCCCCACACAUUUUAUGCCCUGCAAAUAUCCGCUUUUUGCGUAAACUGCAAGAAAAGGAAAGUUUUGUCGGAGUGGGGGGAAAACAACGACGGUAAGUUUAUAUUUUCCUAUGUAUUAUCCAUGUUUUAUUUAGUAUGUUCAUAAGGAGCAAACUGCAAAAAGUUGCUAUUUUCAGUCAGUUUCGUUGCGCCCUGAAUACAUGGUUUAAUAUUUAUUUUAUUUUAUUUAAGUCAUUACAACACGUCAAUAUUGCCGUUAAACACGUUUUGUUAACAUUUUUAGUAUGAAUACAGUUAUCGCGAGAUUUUCACGCGAAUUGAAAACGAGAUCUCCUCUUUCUCUGCAGGAUACCUUUUUUUAUUUACGUUUUCUGUUUCCGGUGUGCGGUAUUUUCAAAUGCACUUUGAAAAAAUGAUGCAGUUCAGUUGUCAAAAACGUUGUGAACAUGUGUGGAAAAGGCUGUGGGAAGAGUGGAGACGCAGAAGCACUAAAAUAUAGGUGUUCAGCAUGUGCUUUGUGAAGUUAAUGUUUCAGUGAAUGCUAUUAUUCAACUGCCUCCGGCCUCGACGUAUGUGAGUGUGUGCAAAUGUUUUGCUAAAGAUGAAGUGCCACGCACAAGUCUCAUCCAUUUAUUGAAAAACGUGUCGGCCAGCGACAGACAGGAAGCAGGAGCUGUGGCACAUUAGGUGAGAAUGAUGCUAUUUUUGUCACUUUUCUGAGUGAGCAGCAUCGAAUCCCAAAAACCUGUGAGCAACCAGUCCACACUAGUGUCGACAAACAACCUCCCUUCAUCCUGUAUCUAUGCUAAGCCAUGAUAAUUCGUUUUCAAGUGUGCACUUUUCCUGUCUGCCCAUUAUAUUCCUGCACAACAGUCAGGAGUCAAACAAACACGAUUAUUGGAUUGUGUCUUGUUGGUGUUACUCACCGCGUGUCUGUUGGUUGAACCUGACAGACAGGGCUUUGUUGUUAAUCCUCCUCUCAGGGUGCAAACGUUGGUUUUCUCUUCACCCAAGUGUCGUGUUCACGCCCCCGCGCUUGUCAUGCUCCGAUCCCGCGCCGUGCUCACGGCCAGGGAGGGAAAACCUCGAUUCUGGAGGCUUUGAUCUUUCCAGAAUAUUAUUUCAUGGAUUAGAUAUCGAGGCCUGAAUGAUGCAUUUUGUACCUGCAACACAAUUCGUUCUCAGUCGUGACAAGCUCACUAUUCUCAAACACCUCGCCGUGGAAACCAGACCAGUAUGAAAGAUAAUCCCGAGGGAAUGUCCUCGAUAAAAUAUAGCUUCAAAAACAGCCUCCCCACGUUCAUGCCGUGCAUCUGUGAGCCACUUAUCAUCUCGCUGACUCAACAAUCUUAACCUUAAACCGCUGACCGAAUGUCAGAUGCCACACUACACCGGCUGUGUACCCCGAGUUCUCCUGGCUGUAAAUAGCUCCUGACCUACAUUUGUUUGACCAAGUUAUCAGUAAACUCAGACUGUCAACAGUGUGAGACCUGCCUGUUUAUUUCUUCAUUAAAGGCAAGGCGGAUGUUUACUUGAGUUGAAUAAACCUGCGGGAUGUGAGCUGAAGAUGUUCAAGUCCCUGAAUACCCUGCAACAAUUGAAGCCCUGGUACCAUGGAGUUGGCAGUUUUGGUGGCUCUGAGUUCUUGUCUGGCUCCGGCACUGGGCUCUGCGUUUGGCAGGGAGAUGUUCGUUUCUGCGGCAGACGACGACUCCGACAGAGACUUCACUUACGAUUACGAGUCUCUGAGAAUCGGCGGCCUGGUGUUCGCCGUGACUCUCUUCGUCCUGGGCAUCGCUCUUGUCGUCAGCCGAAAAUGCUCCUGUCCCAAAAGCGACAAGUCCAGGUCAAAAGGUCCAGAUUUGGAGUCAGCAGCUGCCAGGGCUUGAACCCGGCGUUUUCCAGUGCCUCAUAGUGACCACUAGAGGCCCCCGAGGAGCCUCUAAACGCACGCGGCGCAGUUCUGUCCAGCAGCGUCGCAUUUCUGCUCUGCUGCAGCCGAGAAACCAACUCUUCUAGCUCCAUCUGGGUUGAGAAAUCUCAGCACCGCGGCCAUGGACAACACAGAAGUCAAGUUUCCAGACCAGAGCGCGUUCGAGUACGGUGAGGUCCACACCCGUCCGGAGAGGCGUCUUCAUUCCGCUCCUUCUCGGCGGUUCCAGUGUUGCCGGACACUUUCAACCCUGAGCCGUUUCACAUUCUAAAUUGGCGAUUGUCAUUCCAGAUCAGUGUAACGGAGCAACAUGCCUAACUAGUUUUACUGCUCGAACCAAAGUUAUAUCUAUCAAUAAACCAGACCACGGUCCUUCGGUGGUUGCAUUUCAUUAUUUUUUAGAUCUGAUUUUAUUGUCAGGAUGUGUGUAAUUUGACUGUUAAUUUUUGUUUUAUUUUUUUGUUGUUUUCUAUUUUUUUUAUUAAAUAACGCAGUUAAAUGUUCAAUCCAAGUUAUUUUUCAUUUAUAAAAACUUUUACCCAUGAAAUGUAAAUACAAAAAUUCAAAAUCCAGAUCAAUUUCACGUAGAUAAAAAUGAUUUGAACACAUCCGUAUCCACCUACAGACGUUUUGUGAUUUUUUUUAAAAAUUGAUUUGGAUCUACUCAGCAUUCAAGACAUUAGGAAUCCAAAAUAUUUCAACCCCAAAUUUCAUUAUUUUGGAAAUAAUUUAGAAUCAAAGUUGAAGUGAUUUAAUUCGAUUCGAUGACGUUACGCGUCAGUCAAAAGUCAAAACUUUCCCAGCGCGUCAUUGAGGUGCUGUGAGAGCAGUGGGACAGCAGGUGGCAGUAGUGAGUGAAGAAGCGCUCGCUGCUGCACUUCUGUCACCGCAAAGAAGAGUCCGCGUGGCGGAUCACUGAAAACUGAUUUUAAAAUCGCAGCCAUUCAUAAAGCAUCAAGAUAUUUUCCCACGUUUUCCUUGAUAUAAAUAAACAACCUGGAUUAUUGUGCUGCAGAGCUUCAAAACAAAGUGGAAAUAAGGUUUAAAAUAAAGCGGGAGGAGGGUGGGGACAGGAGAAUCCAGCAGUGAGGAAUGGGACGCCAU
Synchiropus splendidus (mandarinfish) is the source of this 3091-nucleotide RNA transcript. It is a transcript of the gene named FXYD domain-containing ion transport regulator 6-like, with no coding region annotated. The transcript has 11 exons. The record is from RefSeq and is a predicted model, not a curated record. Lineage: Eukaryota; Metazoa; Chordata; Actinopteri; Syngnathiformes; Callionymidae.